RNAcentral lists this ribosomal RNA (198 nucleotides) under uncultured bacterium. RNAcentral describes it as "partial 16S ribosomal RNA". It matches the Rfam family "Bacterial small subunit ribosomal RNA", at positions 328 to 539 of the family's 1533-position model. The record is from RNAcentral.
ACGCUCGACACCUACGGGGGGCAGCAGUGGGGAAUAUUGCACAAUGGAGGAAACUCUGAUGCAGCGACGCCGCGUGAGGGAAGAAGGUCUUCGGAUUGUAAACCUCUGUUGUCAGGGACGAUGAUGACGGUACCUGACGAGGAAGCCACGGCUAACUACGUGCCAGCAGCCCCGGUAAUCUGAGCGGGCUGGCAAGGC